UGGGGAAUAUUGCGCAAUGGGGGCAACCCUGACGCAGCAACGCCGCGUGCGGGACGACGGCCUUCGGGUUGUAAACCGCUUUCAGCAGGGAAGAUAGUGACGGUACCUGCACAAGAAGCCCCGGCUAACUACGUGCCAGCAGCCGCGGUAAUACGUAGGGGGCGAGCGUUAUCCGGAUUCAUUGGGCGUAAAGCGCGCGCAGGCAGCUCUUCAAGCGGAACCUCUAACCCCGGGGCUCAACCUCGGGCCGGGUUCCGAACUGGAGGGCUCGAGUGCGGUAGAGGCAGGCGGAAUUCCCGGUGUAGCGGUGGAAUGCGCAGAUAUCGGGAAGAACACCGAUGGCGAAGGCAGCCUGCUGGGCCGGCACUGACGCUGAGGCGCGAAAGCUAGGGGAGCGAACAGG
RNAcentral lists this ribosomal RNA (403 nucleotides) under Verrucomicrobiota bacterium. RNAcentral describes it as "Verrucomicrobia bacterium partial 16S ribosomal RNA". It matches the Rfam family "Bacterial small subunit ribosomal RNA", at positions 355 to 776 of the family's 1533-position model. Lineage: Bacteria; Pseudomonadati; Verrucomicrobiota. The record is from RNAcentral.